Acanthochromis polyacanthus (spiny chromis) is the source of this 2333-nucleotide RNA transcript. It is a transcript of the gene named NLR family CARD domain-containing protein 3-like, with no coding region annotated. The transcript is spliced from 7 exons. Lineage: Eukaryota; Metazoa; Chordata; Actinopteri; Pomacentridae. The record is from RefSeq and is a predicted model, not a curated record.
GAAGGAGGAGAACUAAUGUGUGAUUCUCCCAGCAGGUUGUUGUGUUUGUCUGCUAUGCAUCAGUGUGAGGACAGAGAGGAGGGAGUCCCUCCCUCUAAAAGAUCUCUGUGUGGAGAAGAUGAGAACCAGAGCAAAGCUCAGAGCCCAGAGCAGCAGAACACACACUCUGCUGGACCUGGACCUGGACCUGGACCUGGACCUGGACCUGGACCUGGACCUGGACCUGGACCUGGACCUGGAUCCAGCUGUGUGUCCAUGAAGAGUGACAGGUCAAAGGAUAUUCCUCCUGAAUUCAGACGAUUGGCAAAUGAAAGGAUCCAGCAGCAGAGACCAGACUGUCCUGAACCCAGCUGUCUGUCCUUCAAGAGUGACCAGUCGAAGGAUGAUGUCAUUUACUUUAAAGACGUCCGUCCAUCUGCUGAUCAGAUAGUGGAGCAGCAGAACUCAGAGGUUCCCAGAGCUCAGUCUGUCCAGCAGCAUCACCUGGACUCCAUAUUCAUGCUGCUGGAGGACAACAUGGUGACUUUUGUGAAGAAGGAGCUGAAGAAGAUGCAGAAGGUUGUGAGUCCAGAUUACCCAGAAUGCUCAGAGAGUCAGAGGGAGGAUGAGGAGGAGUUGGAGGGUGAUGAUGAAGAUGAGAGGAGCAGCAGAGAGAUGUUUGAGCAGAUCACAGUGUUGUUCCUGAGGAGGAUGAAGCAGGAGAAGCUGGCUGACUGUCUGCAGAGCAAACUUGCUGCAGUUUGUGGACGUAAACUUAAACGUGGUCUGAAGAAGAAGUUCCAGAGAGUGUUUGAGGGCAUCGCUAAAGCAGGACAGCCGACCCUCCUGAAUGAGAUCUACACAGAGCUGUACAUCACAGAGGGAGGGACUGCAGAGGUCAAUGAUGAACAUGAGGUCAGACAGAUUGAAGCAGCAUCCAGGAAAGCAGACAGAGCAGAAAGAAGCAUCAGAGCAGAAGACAUCUUUAGAGGCUCACCUGGAAGAGAUGGACCAAUCAGAACAGUGAUGACACAGGGAGUGGCUGGCAUCGGGAAAACAGUGUUAACACAGAAGUUGACUCUGGACUGGGCUGAAGACAAAAGCAACCAGGACAUCCACUUCAUGUUUCCAUUGACUUUCAGAGAGCUGAAUGUGCUGAAAGAGAGAAAGUUCAGCUUGGUGGAACUUGUUCAUCACUUCUUCAGUGAAACCAAAGCAGCAGGAAUGUGCAGCUUUGAAGACUUCCAGGUUGUGUUGAUCUUUGACGGUCUGGAUGAGUGUCGCCUUCCUCUGGACUUCCACAACAAUGAGGUCCUGACUGAUGUUACAGAGUCCACCUCAGUGGAUGUGCUGCUGACAAACCUGAUCAGGGGGAAUCUGCUUCCCUCUGCUCGCCUCUGGAUAACCACACGACCUGCAGCAGCCAAUCAGAUCCCUCCUGACUGUGUGGACAUGGUGACGGAGGUCAGAGGGUUCACCGACCCACAGAAGGAGGAGUACUUCAGGAAGAGAUCCAGAGAUGAGGAGCAGGCCAGCAGCAUCAUCUCCCACAUGAAGACAUCACGAAGCCUCCACAUCAUGUGCCACAUCCCAGUGUUCUGCUGGAUCACUGCUACAGUUCUGGAGGAGCUGCUGAGAAGCAGAGAGGGAGGAGAUCUGCCCAGAACCCUGACUGAGAUGUUCAUCCACCACCUGGUGGUUCAGACCAAAGUCAAGAAGGUCAAGUAUGAUGGAGGAGCUGAGACAGAUCCACACUGGAGUCCAGACAGCAGGAGGAUGAUUGAGUCUCUGGGAAAACUGGCUUUUGAGCAGCUGCAGAAAGGAAACCUGAUCUUCUAUGAGUCCGACCUGACAGAGUGUGGCAUCGAUAUGGAAGCAGCCUCAGUACUCAGGAGUGUUCACACAGAUCUUUAAAGAGGAGAGAGGGCUGUACCAGGACAAGGUGUUCUGCUUCGUCCAUCUGAGCGUUCAGGAGUUUCUGGCUGCAGUCUACAUGUUCCACUGUUACACCAACAGGAAGGAGAAGGUUCUGGAGGACUUCCUGGGAAAAGACUGGAAAGAUGAGAACAGAGACACUCUGGAUGUGUUCCUGAAGAGGUCAUGGAGAAAUCCCUGAGAAGUAAAAAUGGUCACCUGGACCUGUUUGUUCGCUUCCUUCAUGGCCUCUGUCUGGAGUCCAACCAGAGACUCUUAGGAGGUCUGCUGGGUCGGACAGAGAACCAUCCAGAAAUGAUCCAGAGAGUCAUCAACAACCUGAAGGAGAUGAAGAGUGAUGAAAUGUCUCCAGACAGAAGCAUCAACAUCUUCCACUGUCUGAUGGAGAUGAAGGAUCUCUCAGUACAUCAGGAGAUCCA